Molecule: ribosomal RNA, 726 nt
Filed under: uncultured Weissella sp.
Lineage: Bacteria; Bacillati; Bacillota; Bacilli; Lactobacillales; Lactobacillaceae
Description: bacterial SSU rRNA
Rfam family: Bacterial small subunit ribosomal RNA
Source: RNAcentral
UGAACGCUGGCGGCGUGCCUAAUACAUGCAAGUCGAACGCAUUGUGGUUGAAAUGAUAUGAAGAACUUGUUCAGAUUUGAUUUUCAACAUUGCAAUGAGUGGCGAACGGGUGAGUAACACGUGGGAAACCUACCUCUUAGCAGGGGAUAACAUUUGGAAACAAAUGCUAAUACCGUAUAAUAAUUAAAACCGCAUGGUUUUAGUUUAAAAGAUGGUCUUGCUAUCACUAAGAGAUGGUCCCGCGGUGUAUUAGUUAGUUGGUGAGGUAAUGGCUCACCAAGACAAUGAUACAUAGCCGAGUUGAGAGACUGACCGGCCACAAUGGGACUGAGACACGGCCCAUACUCCUACGGGAGGCAGCAGUAGGGAAUCUUCCACAAUGGACGAAAGUCUGAUGGAGCAACGCCGCGUGUGUGAUGAAGGGUUUCGGCUCGUAAAACACUGUUGUAAGAGAAGAAUGACAUUGAGAGUAACUGUUCAAUGUGUGACGGUAUCUUACCAGAAAGGAACGGCUAAAUACGUGCCAGCAGCCGCGGUAAUACGUAUGUUCCAAGCGUUAUCCGGAUUUAUUGGGCGUAAAGCGAGCGCAGACGGUUAUUUAAGUCUGAAGUGAAAGCCCUCGGCUCAACCGGGGAAUUGCUUUGGAAACUGGAUAACUUGAGUGCAGUAGAGGAAAGUGGAACUCCAUGUGUAGCGGUGAAAUGCGUAGAUAUAUGGAAAACACCA